Molecule: ribosomal RNA, 429 nt
Filed under: uncultured Acidobacteriota bacterium
Lineage: Bacteria; Pseudomonadati; Acidobacteriota
Description: bacterial SSU rRNA
Rfam family: Bacterial small subunit ribosomal RNA
Source: RNAcentral
UGGGGAAUUUUUCGCAAUGGGCGCAAGCCUGACGAAGCAACGCCGCGUGGAGGAUGAAGGUCUUCGGAUUGUAAACUCCUGUCGACCGGGACGAAUGCACUCGACCUAAUACGUCGGAAUGUUGACGGUACCGGUGGAGGAAGCCACGGCUAACUCUGUGCCAGCAGCCGCGGUAAUACAGAGGUGGCAAGCGUUGUUCGGAAUUACUGGGCGUAAAGGGCGCGUAGGCGGCCUUGUAAGUCUCGUGUGAAAGCCCUCGGCUUAACUGAGGAUCUGCACGGGAUACUGCGAGGCUUGAGUUCGGGAGAGGAAAGCGGAAUUCCGGGUGUAGCGGUGAAAUGCGUAGAUAUCCGGAGGAACACCAGUGGCGAAGGCGGCUUUCUGGACCGACACUGACGCUGAGGCGCGAAAGCUAGGGGAGCAAACGGG